AGUGAACGCUGGCGGCAGGCCUAAUACAUGCAAGUCGAACGGCAGCACAGUGGAGCUUGCUCCAUGGGUGGCGAGUGGCGGACGGGUGAGGAAUACAUGGGAAUCUGCCCAGUCGUGGGGGAUAACGUAGGGAAACUUACGCUAAUACCGCAUGCGCCCUUCGGGGGAAAGCCGGGACCGUAAGGCCUGGCGCGAUUGGAUGAGCCCAUGUCGGAUUAGCUAGUUGGCGGGGUAACGGCCCACCAAGGCGACGAUCCGUAGCUGGUCUGAGAGGAUGAUCAGCCACACUGGAACUGAGACACGGUCCAGACUCCUACGGGAGGCAGCAGUAGGGAAUAUUGGACAAUGGGCGCAAGCCUGAUCCAGCCAUGCCGCGUGAGUGAAGAAGGCCCUCGGGUUGUAAAGCUCUUUUGUCCGGAAAGAAAAGCACUGGGUUAAUACCCCGGUGUCCUGACGGUACCGGAAGAAUAAGCACCGGCUAACUUCGUGCCAGCAGCC
This 498-nucleotide ribosomal RNA is filed under the name uncultured bacterium. Its description in RNAcentral is "bacterial SSU rRNA". It matches the Rfam family "Bacterial small subunit ribosomal RNA", at positions 29 to 516 of the family's 1533-position model. The record is from RNAcentral.